UAGUAAUAUUAAUUACGAAAGCAAAAAAUUAUGGCGGUAUUUUAAGCUUUUCAGAGGAAUUUGCUCUUUAAUGGAUAAAACACCUAAAUCUUACUUAAAUUUGUUAAGUCAAUUUGUAUACCACUAUUAAAUUAAUUAUUAAUUUUAAUUUAUAAAAUUUAUGCAAAUUUAAAAAAAAUUAAGUCAAGGUGCAGUAAAAAUUUAAGAAUGAAGUGAAUUACAUUUCUUUUAAGAGAUUAUUAAAAUUAAAAUUUUAAUUUAGGAUUUGAAAGUAAAAUUAAAAUAGAAUGUUAAUU
Molecule: ribosomal RNA, 296 nt
Filed under: Rhipicephalus microplus (southern cattle tick)
Lineage: Eukaryota; Metazoa; Arthropoda; Arachnida; Ixodida; Ixodidae
Description: partial small subunit ribosomal RNA
Source: RNAcentral